Molecule: non-coding RNA, 519 nt
Organism: Trichomycterus rosablanca
Lineage: Eukaryota; Metazoa; Chordata; Actinopteri; Siluriformes; Trichomycteridae
Source: the annotation of a RefSeq genome assembly
AUGGCUCAACUAUACAACUUACUCCAUAUAGGGAGAUACAUAACACUGAUUCUCACCGUAACAUCAAGUGGUUUUGCAGAUGAAAUUGAGCCAACAGAUACCAACAUCAUCAGGAAAGAAACAGAGACUGUUACUCUAAAAUGUUCAUUUCAGUCAAGCAGCAGCAACAUUCGGCUUUACUGGUACAAACAAAAUCCUAACAGCGCACCACAGUUUUUACUGUAUAAAGGUGCAAAAGGCCGAACAGAUCAGAGCACUCCUGAUGAUCCUCGAUUCAUGUCUGAAACAACCAGUACAUCUACUGAACUUAUGAUCUACAAUCUAAAGCUGACAGAUUCUGCUCUCUAUCACUGUGCUCUUAGAGACACCCAAUACUCCCAGCUUCUUCAGCUUGCCUGCCCGUCACCUACCUGCCAUCUCCCGGUGAGAGUACAUGUCCGCAGCGAUGGAAUUAAUAAUCAGAACCUGCGUCCUCUUGAGUACCAGCCCCCGCUGCAGCUGUUGGGAACAUGGGAAUAA